Molecule: non-coding RNA, 1381 nt
Organism: Podarcis lilfordi (Lilford's wall lizard)
Lineage: Eukaryota; Metazoa; Chordata; Lepidosauria; Squamata; Lacertidae
Source: the annotation of a GenBank genome assembly
CCUUUACCAAACCAUAAUUUGUAUCAAAUAGGUUAGUGGAAACAAACUUGCUUCAAACCAUGGCUAUGAGCAGAGAGCUUGUUUUUGCUAACCAUGGUUAAGACUGACAGUAGUUUAGGGUUUGGGCCUGAUGCUAAACAGUGGUAAAUUUAAAACAAAUGUGAAAGCUUCUGAUCUGCUCUGACUACACGAGAAAAAGUGAGAGGUUGGGAAGAGUCAGGAAGGAAAGCCAGAGGCAACCAUUUUCCCAGGACAGGUUUAUUCACCUUUAGGCCUUUUCUGUACAUCCUUGUUUAUCCUGCUUCAAGUUGUCCAUGAUUUGAAAUUUCUGCUUCUUUCCCAAAAAGUUUGUGCAUAUUAGUGCAAUUAAAUUUUUAAUGUAACUCAACUGCAUUACAUUAGGUUUGUUUGUGGAACAAACUCUCCCGUAGACAAUUAAAACAAUAUAGAUAGUUGCUGCAUUUGCAGAGUAUAGACAAAAGCUCUUUUCUAUCCUCUGCAGUUACACAGCUAGCACAGGGAAUUUAUUUAGCUAACCAAGCGCAACUCCAGAGCUGUGCUGACAUAGGGAUCUAUGCAGGUGCAAAAACAAGAGGAUAUAUAUAUAUAAGCAACAAUAAUGUCCAGCAUCAUUAGAAACAGACUCCAAUGAAAACUAAAUGCUUGCCAAAUGGAAAAACAAAUGCAUUUUAAAGCAUCUGAUAAAUUAUUGCAGGCAGGGAGGAAAAUAAAACUAUUAAAAUGUAAUUCGGAAUGUAAUUAAAAUGUACAUUGUUGCAGACUACCAGUGCUAAAUUGAGUAAUUUAACUAAGGAAGCAAGUAAAGAUGAUGGAUUUUUUUGUGGCAUUCUCUCUUCAGUCUAAACAUUAAGAAGUUCUUCUCUCAGUUACAUUGAUGUAAUUGGAAUACAUAUAUUUAGCUAGCAUUCCACAGGCAAAAAGCAACAAUACCAUGAAGCCAACCCACACCAUAUUAAUUGGUUUAAGAUGCCUCAUUAUUUUCACAUAAAGUAUAUUUUGGCAUGCUUUUAGAAAACAAUCUAGGGUAAUCUCUUUACAUCUUGCUCUGAAAAGCUGGUGGUUGCUAGAUCAAGUUCUCCAAUAAUAUUAAUAUAUAAAACAGGGCCUCUCAGCCAUAUUAACUCUUGCAAUGUCAGGGGAAAUACUCUCUUUAACACCUCUCUUAUUGCCAUUACUCUGACCUCAAUAAUGUGACCCAUUUGAUUCACUGGCCCACUUCAGGCAAAGAUAACUCAUUUUUUAAAAGCCAAGAGGAGGUAAGGUAAAGGUAAAGGACCCCAUGGCAGUUAAGUCCAGUCAAAAUUGACUAUGGGGUUGUGGCGCUCAUCUCGCUUCAGGCCGAGGGAGCCGGCAUUUGUCC